Molecule: ribosomal RNA, 625 nt
Filed under: Cryptosporidium meleagridis
Lineage: Eukaryota; Apicomplexa; Conoidasida; Eucoccidiorida; Cryptosporidiidae
Description: SSU rRNA
Rfam family: Eukaryotic small subunit ribosomal RNA
Source: RNAcentral
GGGGAAUUAGGGUUCGAUUCCGGAGAGGGAGCCUGAGAAACGGCUACCACAUCUAAGGAAGGCAGCAGGCGCGCAAAUUACCCAAUCCUAAUACAGGGAGGUAGUGACAAGAAAUAACAAUACAGGACUUUUUGGUUUUGUAAUUGGAAUGAGUUAAGUAUAAACCCCUUUACAAGUAUCAAUUGGAGGGCAAGUCUGGUGCCAGCAGCCGCGGUAAUUCCAGCUCCAAUAGCGUAUAUUAAAGUUGUUGCAGUUAAAAAGCUCGUAGUUGGAUUUCUGUUAAUAAUUUAUAUAUAAUAUUUGAUUAAUAUUUAUAUAAUAUUAACAUAAUUCAUAUUACUAAAUUUAUUAGUAUAUGAAAUUUUACUUUGAGAAAAUUAGAGUGCUUAAAGCAGGCAUAUGCCUUGAAUACUCCAGCAUGGAAUAAUAUUAAAGAUUUUUAUCUUUCUUAUUGGUUCUAAGAUAAAAAAUAAUGAUUAAUAGGGACAGUUGGGGGCAUUUGUAUUUAACAGUCAGAGGUGAAAUUCUUAGAUUUGKUAAAGACAAACUAAUGCGAAAGCAUUUGCCAAGGAUGUUUUCAUUAAUCAAGAACGAAAGUUAGGGGAUCGAAGACGAUCAGAUACCG